GACGAACGCUGGCGGCGUGCUUAACACAUGCAAGUCGAACGGAAAGGCCCUGCUUUUGUGGGGUGCUCGAGUGGCGAACGGGUGAGUAACACGUGAGUAACCUGCCCUUGACUUUGGGAUAACUUCAGGAAACUGGGGCUAAUACCGGAUAGGAGCUCCUGCUGCACGGUGGGGGUUGGAAAGUUUCGGCGGUUGGGGAUGGACUCGCGGCUUAUCAGCUUGUUGGUGGGGUAGUGGCUUACCAAGGCUUUGACGGGUAGCCGGCCUGAGAGGGUGACCGGCCACAUUGGGCCUGAGAUACGGCCCAGACUCCUACGGGAGGCAGCGGUGGGGAAUAUUGCACAAUGGGCGGAAGCCUGAUGCAGCGACGCCGCGUGCGGGAUGACGGCCUUCGGGUUGUAAACCGCUUUCGCCUGUGACGAAGCGUGAGUGACGGUAAUGGGUAAAGAAGCACCGGCUAACUACGUG
This 468-nucleotide ribosomal RNA is filed under the name uncultured bacterium. Its description in RNAcentral is "partial 16S ribosomal RNA". It matches the Rfam family "Bacterial small subunit ribosomal RNA", at positions 28 to 507 of the family's 1533-position model. The record is from RNAcentral.